UAUACGUAAGUGAUUUGCCGGUGGCAAUAUCUUAGGAUGCUUUUAAAUUUCAGUGACAAUUUAAGUCAUGACUCAUGCUCCCAUUUGGCUGGUGCUGGUGUCGAUACAGAUGGUGGUGGUAGCAUUAAAUCAAUAGAGUACAUAUACUAGCAGUAGUUAAAGUUGUGCAAUAAGUAUCCACUGCUAGUACGGAUACUUAUCCAGUUAGCAAUAAUAUGGAGACACCCUUAUAAAGGUGGUGAGUGCGGGUCGUGUAUAAACAAGCUUGAAGAAGGUCUGCCUGAAUCAAAUGGUUAUGUUUAUGUCAAGGAAAAUUGUGGCUGAAAUCAACGAAGGACAUUAAUUUGUUCUUAUUUCUCAAUCACCCUGUAAAUAUUUGUGAAAAUUUGCUGUUGAUUAGUAUAGCUCUGGUGUUGAUGUUGUCUCAGUUUGGCAAGUGGUGAAAAGGGGUUUAAAUUGGCCCCAUGUUGAUCGUUGGGGUUCAAGCUUAUAUAUGCUUGUAAUUGAGCAGUCACUAGUGAAGAGAGUGCAAUUGGUAAACUAGAAUUGAGUCUGAAUCAGUUGGAAGCUAGGGUCCUGCAGCUUAUAAUGGAAGGAAAGCACGAUGACACGAAGAAACUUGUGAUUGGAAAAUUGGUCAAGGAAAGGGCAACCGAUUCCGAGCUUUAGCUGGAUUUUACCCACAAGUUGCUUCUGAAUCCAAUGUUAGUGUUUCUAUCACCUUGCUUGGUCUGACUUUACGAGAAUGAAAUCUUUCGGCAAAGUUGAAGAGUUUGCGGAGACUCUAUUAAGUUAGUGAACUAGAUAGAAGUUGGCAAAAGGCUUCCAGGUGCAUCCGCAAGACUUAACGCAUGCGAAUUUCUCAAACAUAGGUAGAAGAUAACGGAGAAGAACAUGAAGAGCAUGGAACCCAAGAAGAAGACGAUGUUGAUGUCGAUGUUGAUUCUACAGAUGGUGCUGUUCUUGUCAACAGUAAUGAAGCUGAAGAAGAGUGGGAUACAACUAAUGAAGGAACCUUAUCAUCCUAAAAGCAAUUGGUUUGGAUAAAUAGGUCACAGAUAUGAGCAGUAAGUGCGACUAUUUACAAGGCUGGUUAUGAAGCAACAAGAAGUUAUACUUGUUUGAGCAUGUAGGUAAUGAAUGUUGAGCUUGUCUCCAGUCUUGUUCCUUUAAGAUUGUAUCUACUACUGCUAUUACACUUCACAUGACAACUGCAACUGCAGAAUUUCUAUGUUUUGAAAACUUAGGGAACGUUUACAUAUUUGUCAUUUUUUUGAUACUACACACAGAAUUUGUAUGU
This is a long non-coding RNA of Papaver somniferum (opium poppy), 1300 nucleotides long. RefSeq lists it as uncharacterized. The record is from RefSeq and is a predicted model, not a curated record. NCBI's taxonomy places the organism in Eukaryota, Viridiplantae, Streptophyta, Magnoliopsida, Ranunculales, Papaveraceae. The transcript is spliced from 9 exons.